This 3571-nucleotide long non-coding RNA is filed under the name Triticum aestivum (bread wheat). RNAcentral describes it as "long non-coding RNA (TAES_LNC001707)". Lineage: Eukaryota; Viridiplantae; Streptophyta; Magnoliopsida; Poales; Poaceae. The record is from RNAcentral.
UUUCCCUUCCCCUCACUCGCCCCCAUCUCCCUCUGCCCCGCUCACACCCGCCGCCGUCCGCGACCCCCAUGGCCGCACCGCCGUGAAGCUUGCGGCCACAGUCGACCCCGGCAACUAGGAGCUUGACCAUCGGCCUCGUCAUCCUCGUCUACAUCGUCCCCGCCUCUGGAUCGAGGCCAAAACGCUGCCUCGCCGUCGCUAGCCUCCUGCAUCUCCAUCACGCCCGCCGCGUUUCGCCGUUCACCUGCGCAUCCUCGACCAGCCACGGCCGCCCCGAGCACGCCAUCGAGCUCCGCGGUGAGCACCGUGCCGAUUUCCCUAUUUUCCCCUGCCUCCCGUUGUCGUAGCCGUCAUGCCUACCCAUGGCUGCCAUGGACGAAGAUCGCCGUUGCCGCGGCCAGAGCCCGCGCCCAGGUCGCGCCCCGGCCUUCCGCUGUCCGCGCUCGGCCGCGCCCCCGCAGCGCUCGUUCCUGCCUUGGUGUUGCCCUGUGCCGUGCGCUGCUGCUCGCCAUCAGCUGCUUUCCGCUGGCCCCUGGCUGCGACUGCUACUUGCUUUUGCCUGCUGCUGUUGUCGCCAUCCCUGCCCGCGCCCGCCUGAGCGGCUGCGCCGGGCCACGGCUGCUCCCGUACGUGCCUGCCGCUGCUGGCUUCGGCAGCGCUCGUGCGUGCACACCAGCCAUGGCUGAGCGCCCGUGCUAGUGUGUGCGUUAUGGGCGUGCGUGAUGUGUGUGCGUAUGAGUAGGGCCGGCCUGUGUGUGCGUAUGAGUAGAGCCGGCCCUCUCUUUAGAUUAGGGGCUAAUCCCUUUUUAAGCUAAUCCUCUGUUAGUUUAAUUUAAUUGCAGGUCUAGUUUAGUAGUACCAAAUGACAUGUGGGUCCCCUUUAAUUAAGUUAAAUAAAUUAUUUUAGAAUUUUAAUAAAACACUGACGUGUGGGACCCCUAGGCCCAUUGACCAGUCAACGGGUCAACGUUGAUUGCUGACUGGGCAGUCAACGGGCCCACUGUCAUCAUCUGGUGCGCUGCACCGGGUGCACCUAGCAAUUUCCUGUUUAUUUUUCGAAUUAGUAAUAAUUUCAAAAAAUUCAGAAAAUGUUUAAAUCUUUGAAAAAUCGUAGAAAAAUAACCCUAGCUCGGAUCGAAAACCUUUAUACAUGAAAAUUCCUCAGAAAAAUCCAACGAAUCCGAAUACGAGGUCCGUUUUCCUGUCAGAUGCCUCUAACUAUCUGAACAUGGAACAUUGCCCCUCCGGUCAUCUGUCUGACACAGGUCCGGAACCGGGAAUACCUUCCCAGUUGAAUUCCCCCUUCAUCUGUUUCGUGCAGCACUACGUUAGAACAUUCAUAGUGCUGCGUAUUGCCAUGUUAUGCCUUGUGAUGCUUUGUUUGCUCUGUAUUUACUGUUUCUCCCACCUCUUCUCUUUAGUCGACCCUGUGGCGGCUGCCGAUACUGCUGUGAUCGACUACGUCAAUGACGACCCCUCCUUGUCUGAGCAAUCAGGCAAGCCCCCCUUUGAUCAUCCCGAUAUCGCCCAUUCCAUUCUCUCAUGCUUGCAUUAGAUUUUGCUACUGUAUUUGAUUGCUCCUAUUCUGAUGCAUAGCCUGCUUUUGUAACCUGUUUAUUAUUACCUACCUGGUUAUCCUAAACUGCUUAGUAUAGGUUGGUUAGUGAUCCAUCAGUGACCCCCACCUUGUCCCAGUUGCCUCGCUUUAUGUUUGAUGACUCGAUCAACGUGAUCGACGUUCAGGCCCUGACACCGCACAUCACCUCCCCUAGUUGUACGACUCUACAGAGUUACCAUCGAGUGCCGAGGGUGAAAACUCUUACAUCACUCUUGAUGAGAUCUCUGUAGUGUAGCUAUUCGGUCGUGGUCAUCGAGGGUGAUUUCCUCCUUAACCACUUCCGAUACGGCUUUGUCGUGCAACCCCUCAAGUGUGAACCUCGAGGGUGGAUCCUCUUAUGUUCACCUUGGUGAUUACAUCGAGUGGAAUUCACCGGGGGUAAUUCCUCGGGUUUUCCCCUUGGUGUUAGACACACUGUUACUAUGGUGACUAUGACUUACACUGAACCAUGUUACUAAAGACGGGUCGGCCUUGAGGGGUACCCGCGCGAGCUUAUUUGCGAGUGAUGUGGAGUCGGGUUGACCUGGAAGGUGCCCGUGAGAUUCUUACGAGGCGUGGCCGGGCAUUAUUAGCCCUUGCCACAAGUCCUCGAGACGGGGCGACGGGGUCACAUCUUUCGUGAGUCUCUACUUGUUACUGCGUACUCCUAAUCCACUACAAUUUGGAUAUUUGAUCUGAGGGGCCUCUGGCCUGAUAGCACUAACCAUCACGUGGGCAUAGUAUGGGCGUUCUGCAUCGUAUCCAUCAGCCGAAGUUUAAUAGAUGUCAGCGACUGAGCGGCGCGCGCCGGGUUGGACUGCGUAAGCUCCUGCCUUGUUUAAGAAGGUAGCUAGGUCUGCUCAUCGACCGCGUACGCAAUGUGCAGGAGUUCCCGGGGAGAUGGCCCAUGACCCCUGGGGGCAUAGGCUUAGUCCGGCGUGCGGACCUCUCUAUUAAGCCUAGGUCGGGUUGUGGCGUAUUGUUUGGCCGAGGCCGGGCAUGACCCAGGAAAGUGUGUCCGGCCGAAGUUAAUCGAGCGUGGUGGGUAAGUUGGUGCACCCCUGCAGGGAAGAAAACAUCUAUCGAUAGCCUAUCCUAUGGUAACGGACACUUAGAGUUGUAUCCCGAUCGAUACAACUAGAACUGAAUACUGAGAUGAGAAAUGAAUUGUGAUGAGAAAUGGAUAGUAUGGCUCUGGGAUUGCUUUCUCGCAGGGAGUCGAGAAAGGAUCUCUGGCCGAGGUUGAUAACACUACUACUACUUUACUUUAUGCUACUCUACUCCCUCCUGUUGCUGCAAGUUUGUGGUUUCCAAAAGAUGCUAGUCUUCGAUAGGACUAGCUUCUCCCCCUCUUAUUCUAGCAUUUCUGCAGCCCAGUCCAUAUAUACAGCCUUCCUUUGAUGAUGUUGCAUAUGUAGUGUAGAUCCUUGCAUGCUGAGUACUUCGGAUGAGUACUCACGGUUGCUUUACUUCCUCUCCCCCCUUUUUCCAUUCUUCUCGGAUGUCGCAGCCAGAUGGUGGAGCCAAGAAUCCAGACGCCACCUUCGACGACGACUACUACUACACUAAGGGUGCCUACUACUACAUGGAGGCCGCCAACGACCAGGAGUAGUUAGGAGGCUUCCGGGCAGGAGGCCUUACCUUUUCGAUCGUAGUUGCUUUUGUGCUAGCCUUCUUAAGGCAAAUUGGUUUAACUUAUGUCUGUACUCAGAUAUUGUUGCUUCUGCUGACUCGUUUGUAUUCGAGCUUAUGUAUUCGAGCCCUCGAGGCCUCUGGCUUGUAAUAUAAAGCUUGUAUUAUUUUAAUUUGUAUCUAGAGUUGUGUUGUGAUAUCUUCCCGUAAGUCCUCGAUCUUGCUCGUACACUUUUGCAUGUAUGAUUAGUGUAUGAUUGAAUCGGGGGCGUCACAAGUUGGUAUCAGAGCCGACUGCCUAUAGAUAGCCCCCUUUUCAACUCCUUGGACGAAGUUGAGUCU